RNAcentral lists this transfer RNA (71 nucleotides) under Loxodonta africana (African savanna elephant). It matches the Rfam family "tRNA". Rfam says of the family: Transfer RNA (tRNA) molecules are approximately 80 nucleotides in length. Their secondary structure includes four short double-helical elements and three loops (D, anti-codon, and T loops). Lineage: Eukaryota; Metazoa; Chordata; Mammalia; Proboscidea; Elephantidae. The record is from Rfam by way of RNAcentral.
GCAGUGGUGGUUCAGGGGUAGAAUUCUUGCCUUCCAUGCCAGAGACCUGGAUUCAAAUCCUUGCCAAUGUA